CAAUAGCGUAUAUUUAAGUUGUUGCAGUUAAAAAGCUCGUAGUUGGAUUUCGGGUGGGACGCAGCGGUCUCGCAUUGCGUUUGUACUGCUGCAGCCCUCCUUCUUGCCGGGGGCGGCCUCUCGGACUUCACUGUCUGGGGGUCAGAAUCGGCGAUGUUACUUUGAGUAAAUUAGAGUGUUCAAAGCAAGCUUACGCUCUGAAUAUAAUAGCAUGGGAUAACACGACAGGACUCUGGCCUAUCGUGUUGGUCUAUAGGACCAGAGUAAUGAUUAAGAGGGACAGUCGGGGGCAUUCGUAUUCCGUUGUCAGAGGUGAAAUUCUUGGAUUUACGGAAGACGAACAUCUGCGAAAGCAUUUGUCAAGGAUGUUUUCAUUG
RNAcentral lists this ribosomal RNA (377 nucleotides) under uncultured eukaryote. RNAcentral describes it as "partial 18S ribosomal RNA". It matches the Rfam family "Eukaryotic small subunit ribosomal RNA", at positions 592 to 975 of the family's 1831-position model. The record is from RNAcentral.